This 305-nucleotide ribosomal RNA is filed under the name uncultured bacterium. RNAcentral describes it as "bacterial SSU rRNA". It matches the Rfam family "Bacterial small subunit ribosomal RNA", at positions 335 to 632 of the family's 1533-position model. The record is from RNAcentral.
UACCCUACGGGGGGCAGCAGUAGGGAAUCUUCCACAAUGGACGAAAGUCUGAUGGAGCAACGCCGCGUGAGUGAAGAAGGGUUUCGGCUCGUAAAGCUCUGUUGGUAGUGAAGAAAGAUAGAGGUAGUAACUGGCCUUUAUUUGACGGUAAUUACUUGGAAAGUCACGGCUAACUACGUGCCAGCAGCCGCGGUAAUACGUAGGGAGCGAGCGUUAUCCGGAUUUAUUGGGUGUAAAGGGUGCGUAGACGGGAAAAUAAGUUAGUUGUGAAAUCCCUCGGCUCCACUGAGGAACUGCAACUAAAA